RNAcentral lists this ribosomal RNA (76 nucleotides) under Solenopsis invicta (red fire ant). Its description in RNAcentral is "partial 28S ribosomal RNA". It matches the Rfam family "Eukaryotic large subunit ribosomal RNA", at positions 23 to 97 of the family's 3401-position model. The record is from RNAcentral. Lineage: Eukaryota; Metazoa; Arthropoda; Insecta; Hymenoptera; Formicidae.
UCACCCGCUGAAUUUAAGCAUAUUAUUAAGCGGAGGAAAAGAAACUAACCAGGAUUCCCCUGUAACGGCGAGCGAA